RNAcentral lists this ribosomal RNA (396 nucleotides) under Staphylococcus aureus. Its description in RNAcentral is "bacterial SSU rRNA". It matches the Rfam family "Bacterial small subunit ribosomal RNA", at positions 353 to 745 of the family's 1533-position model. Lineage: Bacteria; Bacillati; Bacillota; Bacilli; Caryophanales; Staphylococcaceae. The record is from RNAcentral.
AGUAGGGAAUCUUCCGCAAUGGGCGAAAGCCUGACGGAGCAACGCCGCGUGAGUGAUGAAGGUCUUCGGAUCGUAAAACUCUGUUAUUAGGGAAGAACAUAUGUGUAAGUAACUGUGCACAUCUUGACGGUACCUAAUCAGAAAGCCACGGCUAACUACGUGCCAGCAGCCGCGGUAAUACGUAGGUGGCAAGCGUUAUCCGGAAUUAUUGGGCGUAAAGCGCGCGUAGGCGGUUUUUUAAGUCUGAUGUGAAAGCCCACGGCUCAACCGUGGAGGGUCAUUGGAAACCGGAAAAGUGAGUGCAGAAGAGGAAAGUGGAAUUCCAAGGGCCUGGGGAGUCGCAGAGAUAUGGAGGAACACCCGUGGCGAAGGCGACUUUCUGGUCUGUAACUGACG